Spirosoma linguale DSM 74 is the source of this 72-nucleotide non-coding RNA. The record is from Rfam. Lineage: Bacteria; Pseudomonadati; Bacteroidota; Cytophagia; Cytophagales; Cytophagaceae.
UGCCGAAUAGUAUAGCGGUUAUUACCCCCGACUCUGACUCGGGUGACCUUGGUUCGAUUCCUAGUCCGGCAA